Antechinus flavipes (yellow-footed antechinus) is the source of this 1449-nucleotide long non-coding RNA. RefSeq lists it as uncharacterized. NCBI's taxonomy places the organism in Eukaryota, Metazoa, Chordata, Mammalia, Dasyuromorphia, Dasyuridae. The record is from RefSeq and is a predicted model, not a curated record. The transcript is spliced from 4 exons.
GAGACAUGUGUAUGGGAAGACAGCUUGAGAUGCCAUCUCUAAUGGUUUCUGAUCAAUAAAAGAUUACAACUGGUUAGAUAAGGGAUCACUAAAGUUACUGCCCAUUUGCAGAUUUCUUUUGACUAACUUGGAGGGUGUGAAAAUGCAUUAUUUGAGCAUGUAACAGGAUAUCCAUCUGCUGUUCUUCUGAUGGCAUAGAGAAGCAAAAUAUGGAAUACUCCAGUCUCUGAAGUAUUAAAGCUACAUGCUACCCAAAGAGAAAAUAAGAAAUGCAUGAUGAGAGUGAGAACACUGAGCCAUGCUAUCAGUGCACAAUUUUGCUGGAGCUACUGCAUAAUGAAAAAGAGAACAUCCAAGAAAUGUAUGAGAAAACCAAAGCAUGAGUUUCCCAAGGCCACCCAGCUACUAAGUGUCGGAAGCAGCAUUUGAAUUCAGGUCUUCCAUGGUGCUGCCUAACUAAUAAAUUAUCUAGAGGAAGUUCCUAAGAAUAUUUCAGAUGAGAAAGCUGAGCCCCAAAGAGACUGAAUGGUCCAACCAAAGCCACCCAGGCAGGAAGUAGAAGAGCUGAAAUUUGAACCCAGGUGCUCUGACCAGUACCAUCUUGUCACUGUGGACAUCUGUGCUUCCAAGGGAAUAACUUGUUUGGCUGUCCUCCUCAUAUGGGUGCUAAAGACACAAAGCCCCGGGAUUUAAACUUGGGGGUUAUAGGGGAACAAAAAGGCAUGAGUGUGCCAAGUCCGAGAGAUAUUUUCUUGAUUUAGUAGUAAUGACUUAAAAAGUUCAGGCAGGGGUGCCUCAUUUUAUUCUUGCCACUAGAUGGCAAUCUUCAUACAUUUAAAUACCUUUUGUUUGAAGGAAGUGAAUUGAUUGAAAUCUUUAAAAUGGGAUAGAGAGCAGGAUGGUUAGAUUUAGGCAGCAUUUUAUUGUAAAGCCCUUCUCUUUAGGAAAUUCUUGUGAAUUCCUAAUAUUUCACAAGUGGAAAUGAGAGAAAUAUAUGUCUAAUCAAUUUCUUCACAAAAAGAAGGUCUUUUUUUUUUUUUUUUUAAAUCUCCUCCAGACUUGCUAAUUGACAUUUGUAAAACAUUAAGGACUUUUUUCUGGAGUUUUUGUUUGAUUCUAAGAAUGUAUUUAUGCAAUCACAUUAGAGACAACUUGGCACAGUGAAAAGAGAAAAAGCCUUAAGUUUUAACUCCAGCUCUGAUAUAUAUUUGUGUUAAUCUCUCUGAACCUCAUUUUCUUCAUUGGCAAGAAAAAUACUUUAUCUUCAUAGUUACACAAUUGACUGAGGAGUAUAGAUAAUAUAAGAACUCACUGAGCCUAUUGUUUGCUGAUUCUAGCUAAGUAUUUGACUUGGCAAAAUGUAGGCCUUUUUCCAAAAUGCUUCUAGUUUGUAUGCUACCAUCAUAUGAUUCCUUGAUAGAUGCAACCAUAAAGUUCAAUCUUGUUCAA